This 400-nucleotide ribosomal RNA is filed under the name uncultured bacterium. RNAcentral's name for it is "bacterial SSU rRNA". It matches the Rfam family "Bacterial small subunit ribosomal RNA", at positions 356 to 773 of the family's 1533-position model. The record is from RNAcentral.
GGGGAAUAUUGCACAAUGGAGGAAACUCUGAUGCAGCAACGCCGCGUGAGUGAUGAAGGUCUUCGGAUUGUAAAGCUCUGUCUUCUGGGACGAUAAUGACGGUACCAGAGGAGGAAGCCACGGCUAACUACGUGCCAGCAGCCGCGGUAAUACGUAGGUGGCAAGCGUUGUCCGGAUUUACUGGGCGUAAAGGGAGCGUAGGUGGAUAUUUAAGUGGGAUGUGAAAUACUCGGGCUUAACCUGGGUGCUGCAUUCCAAACUGGAUAUCUAGAGUGCAGGAGAGGAAAGCAGAAUUCCUAGUGUAGCGGUGAAAUGCGUAGAGAUUAGGAAGAAUACCAGUGGCGAAGGCGGCUUUCUGGACUGUAACUGACGCUGAGGCAUGAAAGCGUGGGGAGCAAAC